GGCGGCGUGGAUUAGGCAUGCAAGUCGAACGUGAAAGUGCCAAAGGGGUAACCCGGAGGCGCGAGUAAAGUGGCGAACGGGUGAGUAACGCGUGGGAAACCUGCUCCAGGGUGGGGGAUAACAGCUCUAACGGGCUGCUAAUACCGCAUGAUGCCACGGAUCUCAUGAUAUCGUGGUUAAAGGAGGCCUCUAUUUAUAAGCUUCCGUUCCGGAAUGGUCCCGCGUUCUAUUAGCUUGUUGGUGGGGUAACGGCCUACCAAGGCGACGAUGGAUAGCCGGCCUGAGAGGGUGGUCGGCCACACUGGGACUGAGAUACGGCCCAGACUCCUACGGGAGGCAGCAGUCGAGAGGCUUCGGCAAUGGGGGCAACCCUGACCGAGCGACGCCGCGUGGGUGAUGAAGAUUCUCGGAUCGUAAAACCCUGUCAGGUGGGAUGAAAAACCAUUCGGUUAACACCCGAGUGGCAUGACAGUACCACCAGAGGAAGCUCCGGCCAACUCCGUGCCAGCAGCCGCGGUAACA
Molecule: ribosomal RNA, 522 nt
Filed under: uncultured Eubacterium sp.
Lineage: Bacteria; Bacillati; Bacillota; Clostridia; Eubacteriales; Eubacteriaceae
Description: bacterial SSU rRNA
Rfam family: Bacterial small subunit ribosomal RNA
Source: RNAcentral